GGCUUGUUAGCGCAGUUGGAAGGGCGCCCAUGCCAUACCAGAAAGAAUACGGAUGCAUAUAUGUGGGGGGUCUCGGUUCGAACUCGGGAUAAGUCG
Non-coding RNA from Mycena rebaudengoi, 96 nucleotides. Lineage: Eukaryota; Fungi; Basidiomycota; Agaricomycetes; Agaricales; Mycenaceae. The record is from the annotation of a GenBank genome assembly.